Ribosomal RNA from Achromatium sp. WMS2, 1337 nucleotides. It matches the Rfam family "Bacterial large subunit ribosomal RNA", at positions 1402 to 2437 of the family's 2925-position model. The record is from Rfam. NCBI's taxonomy places the organism in Bacteria, Pseudomonadati, Pseudomonadota, Gammaproteobacteria, Thiotrichales, Thiotrichaceae.
UCCACAAGCCACCGUCAGAUCACUAGUCCCGACUUUCGUCCCUGCUCGACCCGUCAGUCUCACAGUCAAGCCCCCUUGUGCACUUACACUCACCACCUGAUUACCAACCAGGAUGAGGGAACCUUUGGGCGCCUCCGUUACCCUUUAGGAGGCGACCGCCCCAGUCAAACUACCCAUCAGGCGUAGUCGAUGGGUAACCAGUUGAUAUUCUGGUACCGGCAUGUCACCGUCCGUGUCGAGGUGUGUGAUGCUAAGCGUGCGAGUGUCCUGGUGAUCCUUUUUUGGGGUGAUCUUGUGGCGUGAGUGUGUGAACCGAGCAUGUAGUAGGCAAGCUGCGGAGGGACGCAGGGAGGUAGCUCAUCCCCGGCGAUGGUUGUCCGGGGCUAAGUGUGUGGACUGUCUGGUAGGUAAAUCCGCUGGGCGUGUAAGUUGAGGCAUGAUGGCGAGCCUGCGUGUGUGGGUGAGUGAGUGAUCCUGUACUGUCGAGAAAAGCUUCGUGAGCGAGGUGGUGUGUCCGCCCGUACCCUAAACCGACACUGGUGGAUAGGUAGAGUAUACUGAGGCGUUCGAGUGAAUCGUAGUGAAGGAACUCGGCAAAAUGCCCCCGUAACUUUGGGAUAAGGGGGACCUGAGCUGUCGUGCACUUGUGUGGUGUUGUGGCGGUGAGGGGCGCAGAGACCAGGGGGAAACGACUGUUUAUCAAAAACACAGGUCCGUGCGAAGUCGUAAGACGAUGUAUACGGACUGACUCCUGCCCGGUGCUGGAAGGUUAAGAGGAGCGGUGAGGCACUGUUGGGUGUUGAAGCUGUGAAUUUAAGCCCCAGUAAACGGCGGUGGUAACUAUAACCAUCCUAAGGUAGCGAAAUUCCUUGUCGGGUAAGUUCCGACCUGCACGAAUGGAGUAACGAUUUCCCUACUGUCUCCACUACGAACUCGGUGAAAUUGCAGUACGAGUAAAGAUGCUCGUUACGCGCAGCAGGACGGAAAGACCCCGGGACCUUUACUAUAGUUUGGUAUUGGUGAUUGGGAUGAUUUGUGUAGGAUAGGUGGGAGACGUUGAUGCGGCCACGCUAGUGGUGGUGGAGUCGUUGGUGAAAUACCACUCUGAUUGUUCUGGUUAUCUCACUGUGGACCGUGAUCCGGUUCAAGGACAGUGCCUGAUGGGUAGUUUGACUGGGGCGGUCGCCUCCUAAAGGGUAACGGAGGCGCCCAAAGGUUCCCUCAUCCUGGUUGGUAAUCAGGUGGUGAGUGUAAGUGCACAAGGGGGCUUGACUGUGAGACUGACGGGUCGAGCAGGGACGAAAGUCGGGACUAGUGAUCUGACGGUGGCUUGUGGA